This is a long non-coding RNA of Dermacentor silvarum, 909 nucleotides long. RefSeq lists it as uncharacterized. Lineage: Eukaryota; Metazoa; Arthropoda; Arachnida; Ixodida; Ixodidae. The record is from RefSeq and is a predicted model, not a curated record. The transcript is spliced from 7 exons.
UAAAGCAAAUCCUCUCAGCGGCAACUCCUCGAGUAAUAGUGCAACAAAUAUUUACGUAAGAUUCAGAAAUGUUGAAACGGCUGUGUCAAGUGUUAAGAGGCUAAAGGCGUGGACUAAUGCUCGCCGAUAGAGUCACACAGCAGCGGUCAAACACGCCCUGCAGUAUAAGGCGGGAGACACGAUCGGCGGGUACACGGUGCGCCAGGUUGAAGAAAUCAAAGAACUGCUCCUCGCUGCUGUUCGGCUUUUGGAUGAAAAAACAGGCGCGGACUUUCUCUACAUCGCCCGUACGAUCGCACCCGCAGUAGGGAUGGAGGCUUGAGCAUACCGAUCCCAAGGACAAAUCUUCACCCAUUGUUAUCAAAGGAGUCGUAUACAAAGAAAUUAAAGGAGUCUGUGAACACUGUGUGAAGCGGCAGCUUGCAAGUUUCUACUUGUCAAGCUUUUCAGUCUUACAAGGGUGCGAAUGGAUGAAAGGCUGAGGAACAUAUGCAGAGAUGUAUCUCUGCUGCUUACAUUGUUCUUGCGCUCGAACAUGGGGAAUGACGCUGUGCUGGAGUGGAGUUUAAAAAAAUAACGGAAGCAGAGACCAGUCUCGGUGACAAGGAUGCUGCAUCGGUUGGUCUUAUACCCUAACGGUGUCCUACUUCAAAGAUGAUCUCAGCCAACUCAUACGAGUACAUGAACGCACCGCUAGGCCUGUGGAAUAAAUUCUUGGUACUCGGUGGACCACGGAUGCACGUGACAGGCCCAGAUCAUCGCCUCUAUCGUCACUUAUCGUACAAGUCUAUCUGCACGGAAAAACAACGUAGCAACGCCCACUUCACAGGGAAUGUGCAGGGUGCCGACGACAUAAAAAGGACCAGCAGAACGAAGACGAAUUCCAGUUUGGAGGCAGUGCGCAUCGGA